Molecule: ribosomal RNA, 731 nt
Filed under: uncultured bacterium
Lineage: Bacteria
Description: bacterial SSU rRNA
Rfam family: Bacterial small subunit ribosomal RNA
Source: RNAcentral
ACACAUGCAGUCGAGCGGAUGACAGGAGCUUGCUCCUGAAUUCAGCGGCGGACGGGUGAGUAAUGCCUAGGAAUCUGCCUGGUAGUGGGGGACAACGUUUCGAAAGGAACGCUAAUACCGCAUACGUCCUACGGGAGAAAGCAGGGGACCUUCGGGCCUUGCGCUAUCAGAUGAGCCUAGGUCGGAUUAGCUAGUUGGCGAGGUAAUGGCUCACCAAGGCGACGAUCCGUAACUGGUCUGAGAGGAUGAUCAGUCACACUGGAACUGAGACACGGUCCAGACUCCUACGGGAGGCAGCAGUGGGGAAUAUUGGACAAUGGGCGAAAGCCAGAUCCAGCCAUGCCGCGUGUGUGAAGAAGGUCUUCGGAUUGUAAAGCACUUUAAGUUGGGAGGAAGGGCAUUAACCUAAUACGUUAGUGUUUUGACGUUACCGACAGAAUAAGCACCGGCUAACUCUGUGCCAGCAGCCGCGGUAAUACAGAGGGUGCAAGCGUUAAUCGGAAUUACUGGGCGUAAAGCGCGCGUAGGUGGUUUGUUAAGUUGGAUGUGAAAUCCCCGGGCUCAACCUGGGAACUGCAUUCAAAACUGACAAACUAGAGUAUGGUAGAGGGUGGGUGGAAUUUCCUGUGUAGCGGUGAAAUGCGUAGAUAUAGGAAGGAACACCAGUGGCGAAAGCGACCACCUGGACUGAUACUGACACUGAUGUGCGAAAGCGUGGGGAGCAAACAGGA